AGCAGCCGCGGUAAUUCCAGCUCCAAUAGCGUAUAUUAAAGUUGUUGCAGUUAAAAAGCUCAUAGUUGAAUUUCGGGAUCGAUGCGUCGGUCGUGCCUUCGGUACGUACUGGCGUCAUCGAUUCCUCCCUUCUUGAAGAACCGUGAUGUCAUUAAUUUGGUGUUACGGGGAAUCAGGACUGUUACCUUGAAAAAAUUAGAGUGUUUAAAGCAGGCUAACGCUUGAAUACAUUAGCAUGGAAUAAUGAAAUAGGACGUUCGAACCUAUUUUGUUGGUUUCUAGGAUCGACGUAAUGAUUAAUAGGGAUAGUUGGGGGCAUUAGUAUUCAAUUGUCAGAGGUGAAAUUCUUGGAUUUAUUGAAGACUAACUACUGCGAAAGCAUUUGCCAAGGAUGUUUUCAUUAAUCAAGAACGAAAGUUAGGGGAUCGAAGACGAUCAGAUACCGUCGUAGUCUUAACCAUAAACUAUGCCGACUAGGGAUCGGAUGAUGUUAAUUUUAUGAUGA
Molecule: ribosomal RNA, 505 nt
Filed under: uncultured Glomus
Lineage: Eukaryota; Fungi; Glomeromycota; Glomeromycetes; Glomerales; Glomeraceae
Description: SSU rRNA
Rfam family: Eukaryotic small subunit ribosomal RNA
Source: RNAcentral